This is a long non-coding RNA of Schistocerca nitens (vagrant locust), 765 nucleotides long. RefSeq lists it as uncharacterized. Lineage: Eukaryota; Metazoa; Arthropoda; Insecta; Orthoptera; Acrididae. The transcript has 3 exons. The record is from RefSeq and is a predicted model, not a curated record.
UGUAGGUGAGACUCUUUCAUCAGUCAUAAACUGUAUGGCAGACAACAGCAAAGAGAAAAAUAACAAUGUACCAGAGAAACUAUGUAAUGAUCAAGGCUCUAAUGCUUUGCCUGCUGUGAAAAACAACAGAGUACAAAGUGCAGGUGACAAGAAAAAAUAUGAAAUGAACAAUCCAGAGGCAGUACCACUAAAAAGCAUAAGAAAUGCAGUCAACUCGAAACAAAAAAAAAGAAUUAGCUGACAGAAAUGUAAAGAAAAGUAAAAAAUAAUGACAGCCAUCCAUACCUGGCUCAGACAAAGUUGUGAAUAGUGAUUCUUUAGAUGGCAAUAACUGUCUAUAUAAUAAAUUUGAAAACCCAAUUCAUUUUACAAAUUCAGAAAGGAGAGUUCUAAAGAGUAGAAACAAACACAUCAGUGAACAAAAUGAAUGUUAUAAUGCCAUAAUAUAUGAGAACAAGAAUGAUGGUGUUGGUAAAAAUGAAGUUUCUUGUAGUAUUCAAUCAAGUAAUAACAUAAAUUAUGGAAAAUUAAAGCCAAAUACUACAGUCUCAGUACCAGGCAAAGAUAGUAAAGAAUCCACCAAUGAUGAAAACAGUAAGUGCACCACCAAGAAAACUGAAAAUAUGAAAACAAGUGCUAUGAGAAAUGAUUUUACAGAUUUUAUCAGAAAACUCCCACAUACCCUGAAGCAGAUGAAGAAACUGGCCAAAAUAGACAAAACUCUAUCACAAAAUAAAAAAAUUUGGACGUAGUUGAUGAAAAUAG